This 726-nucleotide long non-coding RNA is filed under the name Equus caballus (horse). RNAcentral's name for it is "lncRNA (ENSECAG00000060350.1)". Lineage: Eukaryota; Metazoa; Chordata; Mammalia; Perissodactyla; Equidae. The record is from RNAcentral.
GUGGAGCACAGGGUGUCAGAUGGUGAGCCACGGUUCAACGAGAGACCACAGGGAAAUUUAAAGAGGAAAGUUUAUGGCUCACAAGUCCUGGAAGAAGUUCACGGCGUACCCUGAGUGGCCACACAGGGAGGUCAAGGCAGAGUACAGACAGAGAGAGCAGCGGAAUCAGGGGGACGUGCCUUCAUUAGGGUCCAUGGGUGGAGUGCUUUGGAGGUCCUGGCCAGGGCUGGAAAGCCAUCCCAGUGACUUCAUCCAACCCCACGUGUGCACGAAAGAGUUGAUUCAGCAGGUCUGGGAUCUUCAAACCCUGCACAUUCCAAAGAAAGUUCUGGCCCUUGCCUGUCUCAUAGAAGACAACCUCUAAGCUCUUAGAAUAUCCUGCUGAGAGCAUCCUGGUCAGGAGAGAACGCCACCUGCAGAGACAACAGUAUGAAAAACUCUACCCACUACACUACUCUACACUGCACCACGCAACUGAGUCCCUCAUCCCCAAAUAGGUACUCCAGGCCCCCCUCGGAGACACUGCGUGUUCAGUUCCAGGCCACCACAAUAAAAUGAAUGUCGCAAUAAAGUGAGUCACACGAAUUUUUUGGUUUCCCAGUGCAUAUACAAUUAUGUUUACACUAUAUUGUAGUCCAUUAAGUGUGCAGUAGCAUUAUGUCUAAGAAACAAUGUACAUACUUUAAUUAAAAAAUACUUUAUUACUAAAAAAUGCUAACUGUCAUC